RNAcentral lists this ribosomal RNA (158 nucleotides) under Fibrodontia gossypina. RNAcentral's name for it is "5.8S ribosomal RNA". It matches the Rfam family "5.8S ribosomal RNA". Rfam says of the family: 5.8S ribosomal RNA (5.8S rRNA) is a component of the large subunit of the eukaryotic ribosome. It is transcribed by RNA polymerase I as part of the 45S precursor that also contains 18S and 28S rRNA. Lineage: Eukaryota; Fungi; Basidiomycota; Agaricomycetes; Trechisporales; Hydnodontaceae. The record is from RNAcentral.
CAACUUUCAACAACGGAUCUCUUGGCUCUCGCAUCGAUGAAGAACGCAGCGAAAUGCGAUAAGUAAUGUGAAUUGCAGAAUUCAGUGAAUCAUCGAAUCUUUGAACGCACCUUGCGCCCCUUGGCAUUCCGAGGGGCAUGCCCGUUUGAGUGUCUUGA